RNAcentral lists this ribosomal RNA (406 nucleotides) under uncultured bacterium. Its description in RNAcentral is "partial 16S ribosomal RNA". It matches the Rfam family "Bacterial small subunit ribosomal RNA", at positions 30 to 526 of the family's 1533-position model. The record is from RNAcentral.
AUUGAACGCUGGCGGCAGGCCUAACACAUGCAAGUCGAACGAGUGGCGGACGGGUGAGUAAUGUCUGGGAAACUGCCUGAUGGAGGGGGAUAACUACUGGAAACGGUAGCUAAUACCGCAUACCAUCAGAUGUGCCCAGAUGGGAUGAGCUAGUUGGUGGGGUAACGGCUCACCAAGGCGACGAUCCCUAGCUGGUCUGAGAGGGUGACCGGCAACACUGGAACUGAGACACGGUCCAGACUCCUACGGGAGGCAGCAGUGGGGAAUAUUGCGCAAUGGGCGAAAGCCUGAUGGAGCCACGCCGCGUGAGUGAAGAAGGCCUUCGGAUUGUAAAGUACUGUCAGUGGGGAAGCGUUACCCAAUGAGAAAGCACCGGCUAACUCCGUGCCAGCAGCCGCGGUAAUUC